UACGGAAGGCAGCAGUGGGGAAUAUUGCACAAUGGGCGAAAGCCUGAUGCAGCUAUGCCGCGUGUAUGAAGAAGGCCUUAGGGUUGUAAAGUACUUUCAUCGGGGAGGAAAAAACAAAACUAAUAAUUUUAUUUCUUGACGUUACCCGAAAAAGAAGCACCGGCUAACUCCGUGCCAGCAGCCGCGGUAAUACGGAGGGUGCUAGCGUUAAUCAGAAUUACUGGGCGUAAAGAGCACGUAGGUGGUUUUUUAAGUCAGAUGUGAAAUCCCUGGGCUUAACCUAGGAACUGCAUUUUGAAACUGAAAUACUAGAGUAUCGUAGAGGGAGGUAGAAUUCUAGGUGUAGCGGUGAAAUGCGUAGAUAUCUGGAGGAAUACCUGUGGCGAAAGCGGCCUCCUAAACGAAUACUGACACUGAGGUGCGAAAGCGUGGGGAGCAAACGAGGGA
RNAcentral lists this ribosomal RNA (447 nucleotides) under uncultured bacterium. Its description in RNAcentral is "bacterial SSU rRNA". It matches the Rfam family "Bacterial small subunit ribosomal RNA", at positions 340 to 779 of the family's 1533-position model. The record is from RNAcentral.